This 253-nucleotide ribosomal RNA is filed under the name uncultured bacterium. Its description in RNAcentral is "partial 16S ribosomal RNA". It matches the Rfam family "Bacterial small subunit ribosomal RNA", at positions 524 to 776 of the family's 1533-position model. The record is from RNAcentral.
UACGUAGGAUGCUAGCGUUGUCCGGAUUUACUGGGCGUAAAGCGCGCGCAGGCGGCCCUGUAAGUAAGGUGUGAAAUAUCCCUGCUCAACGGGGAGGGUGCACUUUAGACUGCAGAGCUAGAGGACGGUAGAGGGGGGUGGAAUUGCUGGUGUAGCGGUGAAAUGCGUAGAGAUCAGCAGGAACACCCGUGGCGAAGGCGGCCCCCUGGGCCGAACCUGACGCUGAGGCGCGAAGGCUAGGGGAGCGAACGGG